Myzus persicae (green peach aphid) is the source of this 400-nucleotide long non-coding RNA. RefSeq lists it as uncharacterized. The transcript has 2 exons. NCBI's taxonomy places the organism in Eukaryota, Metazoa, Arthropoda, Insecta, Hemiptera, Aphididae. The record is from RefSeq and is a predicted model, not a curated record.
UUCAUAUAAUAUGUAUAUAACACAGGUAUACCUUUGAAAAGUAAACGAUACAAGUCUGACUUAAAGCGACCGAAAAUAUUGUACCAAUACCAAAGCGUGGGCAAGUCAAUGAUAUCUUCUAACCGAGUUGAGUUCAGUUGACAAAGAACAUUUAGAAAAGUUUUAGUUAAAAUUUUGUGUCUGAGCUGUCUGCUCUAUAAGAGAUGGUCGGACGCAGAAGCCACCAGACUGUUUUAUUUCUUCGAGAAGUCGUCCAGGGAAUGGCCUUUGCUGAACAACAUCACCAGGAACGGAGCCGGGUCUCUGUUCGCGGAUGUGACUUUUGGCGGUUACAUAAUAAUAUGUGUGGCGCUGUACAUAGCGUACUUGAUGGGCGAGCUGAAGAACAGCAAGAAAACUG